CCUACGGGAGGCAGCAGUGAGGAAUAUUGGUCAAUGGACGCAAGUCUGAACCAGCCAUGCCGCGUGCAGGAAGACGGCUCUAUGAGUUGUAAACUGCUUUUGUACGAGGGUAAACGCAGAUACGCGUAUCUGUCUGAAAGUAUCGUACGAAUAAGGAUCGGCUAACUCCGUGCCAGCAGCCGCGGUAAUACGGAGGAUUCAAGCGUUAUCCGGAUUUAUUGGGUUUAAAGGGUGCGUAGGCGGUCGGAUAAGUUAGAGGUGAAAUCCCGAGGCUCAACUUCGGAAUUGCCUCUGAUACUGGUCGUCUAGAGAGUAGUUGCGGUAGGCGGAAUGUGUGGUGUAGCGGUGAAAUGCUUAGAGAUCAUACAGAACCCCGAUGGAGAAGGCAGCUUACCAAGCUACUUCUGACGUUGAGGCACGAAAGCGUGGGGAGCAAACAGGAUUAGAUACCCUAGUAGUC
RNAcentral lists this ribosomal RNA (460 nucleotides) under uncultured bacterium. RNAcentral describes it as "partial 16S ribosomal RNA". It matches the Rfam family "Bacterial small subunit ribosomal RNA", at positions 338 to 795 of the family's 1533-position model. The record is from RNAcentral.